AGCAGUAGUAAUCCUGUUCAGUACGAGAAGAGCUGUUGGUGUGAACAUUUAGUGUCUGUGAGGAGCCUAUGGUGUAAAGCUACCAUUUUUUGGACUAUGCCUGAACGCCUCAAAGUCAGAAUCAACCCUAUUAUGUU
Molecule: non-coding RNA, 137 nt
Filed under: Lepisosteus oculatus (spotted gar)
Lineage: Eukaryota; Metazoa; Chordata; Actinopteri; Semionotiformes; Lepisosteidae
Source: Rfam by way of RNAcentral